This 490-nucleotide ribosomal RNA is filed under the name uncultured bacterium. RNAcentral describes it as "partial 16S ribosomal RNA". It matches the Rfam family "Bacterial small subunit ribosomal RNA", at positions 30 to 507 of the family's 1533-position model. The record is from RNAcentral.
AUUGAACGCUGGCGGCAGGCCUAACACAUGCAAGUCGAACGGUAACAGGAUACAGCUUGCUGUUUCGCUGACGGGUGGCGGACGUGUGAGUAAUGUGUGGGAAACUGCCUGAUGGAGGGGGACAACUACUGGAAACGGUAGCUACUACCGCAUACCGUCGCAAGACCAAAGAGGGGGACCCUCGGGCCUCUUGCCAUCGUAUGUUCACAGAUGGGAUUAGUUUGUUUGUGGGGUAACGGCUCACCAAGGCGACGAUGCGUAGCUGGUCUGAGAGAAUGAGCGCCCGCACGAGAACGGAGACACGGACCAUACUCCUACGCGAGGCAGCAGUGGCAGACAUUAGACAGCAGGAGCAAGCCUGACACAGCCAGGCCGAGCCUGUGGAAAAGGCGCUCAGGUCGGGAAGUACUUCCAGCGGGGAUGAAGAGAGUAAAGUUAAUACCUAUACUCAUUGACGUUACUCGAAAAAGAAGCACCGGCUAACUACGUG